This 90-nucleotide transfer RNA is filed under the name bacterium ADurb.Bin212. Its description in RNAcentral is "tRNA-Ser". It matches the Rfam family "tRNA". From Rfam's summary of the family: Transfer RNA (tRNA) molecules are approximately 80 nucleotides in length. Their secondary structure includes four short double-helical elements and three loops (D, anti-codon, and T loops). The record is from RNAcentral.
GGAAGCGUGGCAGAGUGGUCGAAUGCGGCGGUCUUGAAAACCGUUAGAGUCGUAAGAUUCUCAGAGGUUCGAAUCCUCUCGCUUCCGCCA